GACGAACGCUGGCGGCGUGCUUAACACAUGCAAGUCGAACGGAAAGGCCCUGCUUUUGUGGGGUGCUCGAGUGGCGAACGGGUGAGUAACACGUGAGUAACCUGCCCUUGACUUUGGGAUAACUUCAGGAAACUGGGGCUAAUACCGGAUAGGAGCUCCUGCUGCAUGGUGGGGGUUGGAAAGUUUCGGCGGUUGGGGAUGGACUCGCGGCUUAUCAGCUUGUUGGUGGGGUAGUGGCUUACCAAGGCUUUGACGGGUAGCCGGCCUGAGAGGGUGACCGGCCACAUUGGGACUGAGAUACGGCCCAGACUCCGACGGGAGGCAGCAGUGGGGAAUAUUGCACAAUGGGCGGAAGCCUGAUGCAGCAACGCCGCGUGCGGGAUGACGGCCUUCGGGUUGUAAACCGCUUGCGCCUGUGACGAAGCGUGAGUGACGGUAAUGGGUAAAGAAGCACCGGCUAACUACGUG
RNAcentral lists this ribosomal RNA (468 nucleotides) under uncultured bacterium. Its description in RNAcentral is "partial 16S ribosomal RNA". It matches the Rfam family "Bacterial small subunit ribosomal RNA", at positions 28 to 507 of the family's 1533-position model. The record is from RNAcentral.